Molecule: ribosomal RNA, 447 nt
Filed under: uncultured bacterium
Lineage: Bacteria
Description: bacterial SSU rRNA
Rfam family: Bacterial small subunit ribosomal RNA
Source: RNAcentral
UGGGGAAUCUUGGACAAUGGGCGCAAGCCUGAUCCAGCCAUGCCGCGUGAGUGAUGAAGGCCCUAGGGUUGUAAAGCUCUUUCACCGGUGAAGAUAAUGACGGUAACCGGAGAAGAAGCCCCGGCUAACUUCGUGCCAGCAGCCGCGGUAAUACGAAGGGGGCUAGCGUUGUUCGGAUUUACUGGGCGUAAAGCGCACGUAGGCGGACUAUUAAGUCAGGGGUGAAAUCCCGGGGCUCAACCCCGGAACUGCCUUUGAUACUGGUAGUCUUGAGUUCGAGAGAGGUGAGUGGAAUUCCGAGUGUAGAGGCGAAAUUCGUAGAUAUUCGGAGGAACACCAGUGGCGAAGGCGGCUCACUGGCUCGAUACUGACGCUGAGGUGCGAAAGCGUGGGGAGCAAACAGGAUUAGAUACCCCUGUAGUCCCUGAGCGGGCUGGCAAGGCGCAU